CGGCGGGUCGAUCCGGGCGGAGGACAUUGU
This 30-nucleotide small nuclear RNA is filed under the name Arabidopsis thaliana (thale cress). Its description in RNAcentral is "snRNA_05728". Lineage: Eukaryota; Viridiplantae; Streptophyta; Magnoliopsida; Brassicales; Brassicaceae. The record is from RNAcentral.